AAGGAUUAGCCAUCCUUGUCAAAAGGCUUUGCUCGAUUCUGGUCUGUCUAUGGAUAAGAUUAAUUCUGUAGAGCUCAUCGGUUCUGGAUCUAGGAUACCAGCUGUUAAGAAGAUCUUAGCUUCUCUAUUUGGUACAGAACCUAGACGGACCCUUAAUGCAAGUGAGUGUGUGGCUCGUGGCUGUGCUAUUCAGUGUGCAAUGCUUAGUCCGAUAUACCGUGUUAAAGACUACGAGGUUCGUUAUAUUUCUUACAUCUUUAAACUUUAAAGUAUAGUACAUAUUUGCAAGCUAUUUAUUGGGUUUUUUUUUGCAGAAGUUGUAAGGGGUGAAAAAUUGAUUUACCUACCUAUAUACUUGCCUGAUGAUUUUCUAGGCUAGUAAAUGGUUGGUUUGUUGACUCAUACAAGAAAAAACCAAUAUUGCAAUCUGACCUCUAAAGUAUAUACCUAAUUACCUUAACAGGUCUUCAGUGUUCCCUUUUUUAUACAUUGCUAGUGAAUGAUCUACUCGGUUAUAGAAAAAGCUUUGGUUGAUUGUCUAUCAGACCGAUUUAGCCGUGCUUGGUCCGGGCCGAUUGUUGCAUAUUGGCUCUAUAUGUUGCUGAUCUCAUAUUCGAUACAUGGAAGUGUUAGUUUAAAGUCUUUAUUAUAUAGCUGCGCUGUUGACAUACAUUUGCUAAUUUAUUAUGGAAUCAAAUACUGAUUGGUGCUUGUCGUCACAAAGUUGUAAGUCGCAGGUCUUUGUAUGUAGUUCCUAAGUUCCUUAUUGCUGCAGUGGAAACCCAUCCCUACACUUAGGUUGUGUUCACUUGGAGUGAAUGGAAUAGAGGGAGAAUGGAAUGAAUUUUGUACUCUAAAAUGGUGUUGAUCAAAGAAAUUGUAUAUAAUUUUCAUUCCUUCAAUCAUUCCAAUCUUACUAUUUUAUCUAUAACUUUAACCCACAUGUUUUGGAAGGAAUGCUCAUUCCAUUUCUGCAUCAUGUUUCUUCACAACCUUUCUCACAAAAAAAUUAACUACAUUCAUAUUUUGUCACUAUUAUUUCAUACUUUCUUCUUUCUCCUUAAAACUUCUAUAUAAUUUUUCAUUCCAUUCUCCCCUCAUUCCUUUCCAUGAAGUGAACACAGCCUUAGAGAUAUAUGGAUCUAGAUUUGAUGACAGGGUCAAACUUUUCUGAGCAAUAUUGUAUGAACUUUAUAUAUGAAUGUCAUUUUUGUGUAGUUAUUUAAAGCUUACAAAAUUUAAUUUUUCACGUGAUCACAUCAUAUACAGGUCAAAGACUCAUUUCCUUUCUCCAUAGGACUUUCAUUAGAUGAAGGUCUAAUCAAUAAUUCAAAUGGGAUUCUUUUCCCGAAAGGCUGUCUCUUUCCAAGUGAAAAGAUCCUUCAACUGCAUAGAAGGAGUACAUUCCAUAUGGAAGCAUUUUAUGCUGAUCAAAAUGAAUUGCCUUCUGGUAUAUCACCCCAAAUGAGCAAAUUUAUUGUAAGUGUGCCAUUACCCCCUUUUUGUCGUUUUUUAAUAUUUUUUUCUCAAAUCUGUAUUAAGGUUUUGAUAAAAUUAUGGUUUUAAUGCAUUGAAAUUUUUUUACAUAAAAAGUGGGUUUCAACAAAUAAAGUGUAGUCACUUUGCAUGGUGAGUUAGGCUAAUGUUAGUAUGCACUUCUCCCCGGUAUUUAGAGGUUCACUUNUUUGAGAAGCUCUCUGCAGACUUGUUCGAAAGGAUUAGCCAUCCUUGUCAAAAGGCUUUGCUCGAUUCUGGUCUGUCUAUGGAUAAGAUUAAUUCUGUAGAGCUCAUCGGUUCUGGAUCUAGGAUACCAGCUGUUAAGAAGAUCUUAGCUUCUCUAUUUGGUACAGAACCUAGGCGGACCCUUAAUGCAAGUGAGUGUGUGGCUCGUGGCUGUGCUAUUCAGUGUGCAAUGCUUAGUCCGAUAUACCGUGUUAAAGACUACGAGGUUCGUUAUAUUUCUUACAUCU
This 1970-nucleotide long non-coding RNA is filed under the name Daucus carota (carrot). Its description in RNAcentral is "long non-coding RNA (DCAR_LNC001561)". The record is from RNAcentral. Lineage: Eukaryota; Viridiplantae; Streptophyta; Magnoliopsida; Apiales; Apiaceae.